GUCUGGACAGUUAUUUUUAUUAGCUGACAGGUAUUUGAGAGUUGGGCUCUCAGGAAAAUAGAAAUACAAAUUGCAGAAUAUCACCUGGCACCUGUCAGCCUGAACCAUGAAUGAGUGAUGAAGUUGUAACUUCCCUUACAUCUCACCUGUGCAAGAGUCUCAUGACUUCAGGCCCAAAAAUAACUGGUGCCAGAGCUGUGUACCAGCAGCAAUCCCUUGUACACCACACAAAUAUUUUAACCUGUCUUUUGUAACUACAUUUUUGCACGAGUUGAAAUGUUACUUAGCAUGGGUGCCAAGUUGAGGUACCCAGCAUUUUCCCAGCAAGCAAUGUCAUGAAGAAGAAACACAGUUCCUCUGUUAGCUCAAAAUUCAGGCUCUGGCACAAAUGUCUCCUGUGCCAGCUGUGCCACAUCAGGUCUGUACUCAUGCAGGGCCUGUUGCUACAUGAACAGAAUACAGCUCUUGGCUGUAUUUACCCAUUCCAGCACAAGCUGCUCUCAGUGAAAAGUGAUACACACACCUGGGACAUUUUCCUCAACUGGCUUUGUCAGAUGAUCCACUGGAAACCCAACCACCCACAAGAGAAGGCAGGAACUGAUUUACCCAGCGGCUGCCCUGUUGUGAGACCCCUCAGAAGGUGAAGCAGCAGGAGCCCGUCACGGAGGUGUGGAGGGGAGUAGGGGAGGGAAGUAGGAGCAGCUGUAAUGUCCAGAGUUUGCACGUUUGAGCCCUGAGUGUCAGUAGAGGAUUGGUUUUAUCUCUGUCAGGAAGUUUCUGCCCUCCAUCUGCCAAUUAUCACCUCACCCCAACGUCUCUGCCAUGGUUUCACCCACGGUUUAACCAGUGCUCACUGCAGCUGGAAGGUGGAUUGCUCCCCUGAUUGAUGCCCCUCCUGAUUUUGUGAUGGCAGCAGCCCUUGCCUCACCUAAAACUUUACUCUAAGCCAACAUGCAGAUAGUCAUCUGUCCUUCACAGCAAGGUGCAGCUCAACAGCAAAGUGCCUGCAUUAAAGCUUUCCUGUCUGUUGGGGGAAACUGCCUCCACAAAUCCAGAGGCUCAGGAGGGGUACAGGCUUGAUUCAUCUCCUGUACAAAGGGAUCCUUGGGUUUUGGGGAUCAUUUUUAGCACUGCCAAACCACAGAGACUUGAUGGAAAAGGUAUCUGUGUCAGUAGUGCUGCUCCAGCAGGCUUCAUGCCUCAGGUGACCUUCCUGGAUUACAGCAGCCUGAUCCCUUUUUUGGUGGUUUUUAAUAGUUCAAUGCCGACGGUAUGCAGUGCCUGAGGAGAGGUGUCAUUCUCACUGCCCGGGCUGUGCUCCACCUGGAGCAGCAGGUGAUGCUGGAGGCUCCAGGAGUCCAGGGCUCCAUCUCCUGGCCAGUCCCAGCUUGCAGGAAUCCACCCACCCCUGGCACAGCUUUGGGCACCACAGUAUCAGAAGGAUCUAAAGUUACUGGAGAGCAAAGGAGGGACACAAGCAUGCUGAAGCAUCUCGAGGCAACUAGAGCUGUGUGAGGAGUGGCUGAGGGCACACGGUUUGUUCAGCCUGAAGGAAACUGAGGGCAGAGCUCACCAGGGGCUGCAGCUUCAUCCCAAGGGCCAGCUCUGAUCUCUGCUCUGUGACCAGGGACUGAGGGAAUGGCUGGAGCUGUGCCAGGGGAGGUUUAGGCUGGAUACCAGGAAAGGUUCUUCCCCCAGAGGUGCUGGCACUGCCCAGGCUCCCCAGGGAAUGGGCACCGCCCCGAGGCUGCCAGAGCUCCAGGAGUGUUUGGACAGUGAUCUCAGGGAUGCCCAGGGUGGGAUUGCUGGGGUGUCUGUGCAGGGACAGGAGCUGGAAUCAUGAUCCUUUUGUGUGCCUUCUGACUCAGGCUAUUUAAUCAUUAUAGAGAAGCAGCUGUCUGAAAAUGAGCUCUUCUGCUGCUGCUGCUGCUGUGCUUCCCAGGGUCUCACAGCAUUGCACCUGGUGACUUUGUUGAUUAAACUAUUUUCUGAGUGUCUGAUAUCCCUGUCAGCCCUGCUGAGCCCAGGGAUAUCUAUCUGGGCUCUACCUUGGCUCAUGCCUCAGAAGCAUAACUGUUCAGAGUUGUGACAGUGAACUCACACUUUUCAACAAGAUUCAGGGCAGGAAGGGGUCAGCCUGUUUGCCAAAUCGGCUGUAAAGUCUACAGAGAGAGAAAAAAAUUCUUUGUCUGUGUCAAAAGUGCAAAUUACAAUUGGAAAAUUUUUGAGUUUCUGAAUGUGGAAACUCACGAUGUGUGAUGACUUAUCUGAUUUUUUUGUAACAUUUUAUAUGGGGUUUUAAAGUCCUGUCUCGAUGAAUCACCUGAAAUUCUCAACUUCUCUUUUUAAAAGUCUGUGGUCACAUCGCUGCAGAGAAUCACGAACACCUCAACCUCAAGGUUCAGCCACUGAAGGCAAAGAACGACUUCUUUCCUAUUUUCUAACUUUUUGCUAACUUUCAUUCUGCUGUGCAAGGGGGAGGGCUGGACUCCUGCUCCUCAGCUGCCUGAACAGACAGUGCCGAGUGCCAGCUACGGGCUCGUCUGUAGAACUGCAGUGCUCCGCAGCGAGAGCUGAUCCUGACGGGAUCCAGCAGCACCCGGAGUCCGCGCUACCAACCCGGCAGCUCCCACAGCCGCAGCGAGGCAGAUUCCCCAUUAAAAAAAAAAAAAAAAAAAAAAAA
RNAcentral lists this long non-coding RNA (2683 nucleotides) under Taeniopygia guttata (zebra finch). RNAcentral describes it as "lncRNA (ENSTGUG00000019794.1)". Lineage: Eukaryota; Metazoa; Chordata; Aves; Passeriformes; Estrildidae. The record is from RNAcentral.